GCCUUUGUGGUGUAACGGUAACACACUCGGCGCGUAUUCGAGAGGUCCAAGUUCGAAUCUUGACGAAGGCA
This 71-nucleotide transfer RNA is filed under the name Stegodyphus mimosarum. It matches the Rfam family "tRNA". Rfam says of the family: Transfer RNA (tRNA) molecules are approximately 80 nucleotides in length. Their secondary structure includes four short double-helical elements and three loops (D, anti-codon, and T loops). Lineage: Eukaryota; Metazoa; Arthropoda; Arachnida; Araneae; Eresidae. The record is from Rfam by way of RNAcentral.